GAUGAACGCUGGCGGCGUGCCUAAUACAUGCAAGUCGAGCGAACAGACGAGGAGCUUGCUCCUCUGACGUUAGCGGCGGACGGGUGAGUAACACGUGGAUAACCUACCUAUAAGACUGGGAUAACUUCGUGAAACCGGAGCUAAUACCGGAUAAUAUAUUGAACCGCAUGGUUCAAUAGUGAAAGACGGUUUUGCUGUCACUUAUAGAUGGAUUCGCGCCGCAUUAGCUAGUUGGUAAGGUAACGGCUUACCAAGGCAACGAUGCGUAGCCGACCUGAAAGGGUGAUCGGCCACACUGGAACUGAGACCCGGUCAAGACUCCUACGGGAGGCAGCAGUAGGGAAUCUUCCGCAAUGGGCGAAAGCCUGACGGAGCAACGCCGCGUGAGUGAUGAAGGUCUUCGGAUCGUAAAACUCUGUUAUUAGGGAAGAACAAAUGUGUAAGUAACUAUGCACGUCUUGACGGUACCUAAUCAGAAAGCCACGGCUAACUACGUG
RNAcentral lists this ribosomal RNA (497 nucleotides) under uncultured bacterium. RNAcentral describes it as "partial 16S ribosomal RNA". It matches the Rfam family "Bacterial small subunit ribosomal RNA", at positions 28 to 507 of the family's 1533-position model. The record is from RNAcentral.